AUUGAACGCUGGCGGCAUGCUUUACACAUGCAAGUCGAACGGCAGCGCGGGCUUCGGCCUGGCGGCGAGUGGCGAACGGGUGAGUAAUACAUCGGAACGUACCCAGUAGUGGGGGACAGCUCGGCGAAAGCCGGAUUAAUACCGCAUACGACCUGAGGGUGAAAGCGGGGGAUCUUCGGACCUCGCGCUAUUGGAGCGGCCGAUGGCAGAUUAGCUAGUUGGUGGGGUAAAGGCCUACCAAGGCGACGAUCUGUAGCUGGUCUGAGAGGACGACCAGCCACACUGGGACUGAGACACGGCCCAGACUCCUACGGGAGGCAGCAGUGGGGAAUUUUGGACAAUGGGCGAAAGCCUGAUCCAGCAAUGCCGCGUGUGUGAUGAAGGCCUUCGGGUUGUAAAGCACUUUUGGCGGGAACGAAAAGGACUGUGCCAAUACCACGGUUCGAUGACGGUACCCGCAGAAUAAGCACCGGCUAACUACGUG
This 484-nucleotide ribosomal RNA is filed under the name uncultured bacterium. Its description in RNAcentral is "partial 16S ribosomal RNA". It matches the Rfam family "Bacterial small subunit ribosomal RNA", at positions 29 to 507 of the family's 1533-position model. The record is from RNAcentral.